GUGAGGAAUUUUCCGCAAUGGGCGAAAGCCUGACGGAGCAAUGCCGCGUGAAGGAUGAAGGCCUAUGGGUUGUAAACUUCUUUUCUUAGAGAAGAAUAUUGACGGUAUCUGAGGAAUAAGCAUCGGCUAACUCUGUGCCAGCAGCCGCGGUAAUACGGAGGGUGCAAGCGUUAUCCGGAUUCACUGGGUUUAAAGGGUGCGUAGGCGGAUAAAUAAGUCAGUGGUGAAAUCAACGGGCUCAACCUGUUAACUGCCAUUGAUACUGUGUAUCUUGAAUAUGAGAGAGGUAGGCGGAAUGUUGCAUGUAGCGGUGAAAUGCUUAGAUAUGCUACGGAACACCGAUUGCGAAGGCAGCUUACUAUUUCGUAAUUGACGCUGAGGCACGAAAGCGUGGGUAGCGAACAGGAUUAGAAACCCGGGUAGUCC
This 426-nucleotide ribosomal RNA is filed under the name uncultured bacterium. RNAcentral describes it as "partial 16S ribosomal RNA". It matches the Rfam family "Bacterial small subunit ribosomal RNA", at positions 354 to 796 of the family's 1533-position model. The record is from RNAcentral.